UCUGUCAGCACGAUGCCAGGCAAACCAGCCCCAAUCAAGAAGUCCCCAGCUAAGAAGGCUGCCGAAAAGGCACCUGAGCCUGUUCCCGUGGAGGUUCCACCUGCCGAAGCCCCACCUGCAGAGGCGCCAUCCGCGGAAGCUGCACCUGCGGAGGCAGCCGCUCCCGCUGAGGGGGCACCGGCCGAGGCGGCUCCAGCCGCAGCGGCCGAAGGGAGCCCUCCAGCUGAUGAGACACCCGCUGAGGAGGGAGGUGACACUGCAGCUCCUGCUGAGGCUGCUGCUCCCGCUGCUGAAGACGGUGCCGCUGCUCCAGCUACAGAAGCUGCAGAUGCUGCAGGAGCUGCAGAAGCUGCAGAUGCUGCAGGACCUGCGGAAACUCCUGCAGAUGCUGCUCCAGCUGAGCCUGCUGUAGUUGAAGAGCCACCAAAGGCCCCCACGCCCCCACCUCCUGCAGUGCCCACCAGCGCUCCUCUGGAGGUGUCUGUAGAGGACGUGAAUGACUCCAGCCUCACCAUCAAAUGGAAGACCCCCGAGACCAUCGGAGACUCAGGCCUUGACGGAUACACCAUUGAGUACUGCAAGGAUGGAACUACAGACUGGGUCACAGCUCAGGAGGAACUCACCCCAGCUAACCGCUUCUGCAUAAAGAAUCUGACGGCCGGCGACCUGCUUCGUGUGCGUGUUGUGGCUGUAAACCCCGGUGGCCGCAGUGAACCUGGUACACUGGCUGAGCCGGUGCCAAUCCGAGAAAUUGUCGACCGUCCUAAGAUCCGCAUGCCACGCAACCUCAGAGCUCAAAUUGUCAAGCAAGUUGGAGAUCAGAUCAACCUGGUUAUCCCCUUUUUGGGAAAACCCAAACCUGUGGUGUCCUGGCUGAAGGAUGGUCAGCCUCUCGACAUGAAGCGGGUCAACAUCAGGAACAGCGACAAAGACAGCAUCAUGUUCAUCCGCACGGCUCAAAGGGAGGACUCUGGUGUUUAUGAGAUGUCAGUGAAAGUGGACAGCUUUGAAGACAAAGCCACUCUCACGCUCCAGAUCGUGGAGCUGCCCGGCCCUCCUACCAGUGUGAAGCUGGUGGACACCUGGGGCUUUAACGCUGCUCUGGAGUGGACCGCUCCCAAAGAUAACGGCAACACAGAGAUCACAGGAUACACUGUGCAGAAGGCUGACAGGAAGACCGGGGAAUGGUUCACAGUGUUGGACCACUACCACAGACUCACUGCCACCGUCUCAGACCUCAUCAUGGGAAACUCAUACUCCUUUAGAGUGUUUUCAGAGAACCAGGUGGGCAUCAGUGAGAGCUGUGCUAUCACCAAGGAUGUGGCCACCAUCCAGAAGACAGGCAUUGUCUACAAGCCUCCUGAAUACCCAGAGCAUGACUUCAGCGAGGCCCCCAAGUUCACCACACAACUCAGCGACCGGGCUGCCACUGUGGGAUACACCACCAAGCUGCUGUGUUCUGUCCGUGGAUCCCCCAAGCCCAAGAUUGAGUGGUUGAAGAACCAAAUGAUCAUUGGUGAUGACCCCAAGUUUCGUCAGAUCUCUAACCAGGGCAUCUGCUCCCUGGAGAUCCGUAAACCCUGCAGCUUUGAUGGAGGCGUGUAUACCUGCAGAGCCAAGAACACUCAGGGAGAAGCCACUGUGUCCUGCAAGCUGGAGGUCAAACAGAUUAUUAUUCCAGAUGAGAGGGGAAAAUAAACCAACACCCAAGGCUUUAGAGUGCUUUUAACAGAACAGCAGAAGUCAGGUCUUAUAUGUUACAAGAGUGUUUGCAGAGGUGAGAGAAAAGUCGUGGCUGUCUGUGCAGCAGUGUGUACAUAAUGAAGAAAGAGACAACCCGCAUACCAACUCACCCACCCACCCAUACCAGACUCACCCACUCCUUUCAGAAUGUAAGGAGGACCCACCAUGCCCAUCCCAGUUUGCCAAAUGUUGUAGUUAUUUUAGCCGAUGACAUGUCUGUAAUCUAUAUUUACCAUGUUUUUUUCUGAGUCCAUGCCACUGUUUGUUACGGUAUAUACAGUAAAUGUACUACCUAAUAAAACUGAAUAUUUCA
This is an RNA transcript of Cheilinus undulatus (humphead wrasse), 2056 nucleotides long. It is a transcript of the gene named myosin binding protein Ha, with no coding region annotated. NCBI's taxonomy places the organism in Eukaryota, Metazoa, Chordata, Actinopteri, Labriformes, Labridae. The transcript is spliced from 15 exons. The record is from RefSeq and is a predicted model, not a curated record.